This 694-nucleotide ribosomal RNA is filed under the name uncultured bacterium. RNAcentral describes it as "bacterial SSU rRNA". It matches the Rfam family "Bacterial small subunit ribosomal RNA", at positions 60 to 755 of the family's 1533-position model. The record is from RNAcentral.
AGUCGAGCGGCAGCGCGGGGCACUGGCGGCGAGCGGCGAACGGGUGAGUAAUAUAUCGGAACGUAUCCUUGAGUGGGGGACAACUAGUCGAAAGACUAGCUAAUACCGCAUACGCUCGGAAGAGGAAAGUGGGGGACCGCAAGGCCUCACGCUGAAGGAGCGGCCGAUAUCAGAUUAGCUAGAUGGUGAGGUAAAGGCUUACCAUGGCGACGAUCUGUACUGGUCUGAGAGGAUGAUCAGCCACACUGGGACUGAGACACGGCCCAGACUCCUACGGGAGGCAGCAGUGGGGAAUUUUGGACGAUGGGGGCAACCCUGAUCCAGCCAUUCCGCGUGAGUGAAGAAGGCCUUCGGGUUGUAAAGCUCUUUUGUUCGGGACGAAACGGUUACGGUUAAUAACUGUGACUAAUGACGGUACCGGAAGAAUAAGCACCGGCUAACUACGUGCCAGCAGCCGCGGUAAUACGUAGGGUGCGAGCGUUAAUCGGAAUUACUGGGCGUAAAGCGUGCGCAGGCGGUUAUGUAAGCCAGAUGUGAAAUCCCCGGGCUCAACCUGGGAAUGGCAUUUGGGACUGCAUGGCUAGAGUAUGGCAGAGGAGGCUAAAUUCCUGGUGUAGCCAGUGAAAUGCGUAAUUUCAGGAGGAAUACCGAUGGCGAAGGCAGGUCUCUGGGUCAAUACUGACGCUCAUGCACG